GAUGAACGCUGGCGGCGUGCCUAAUACAUGUAAGUCGAGCGAACAGACUAGGAGCUUGCUCCUCUGACGUUAGCGGCGGACGGGUGAUUAACACGUGGAUAACCUACCUAUAAGACUGGGAUAACUUCGGGAAACCGGAGCUAAUACCGGAUAAUAUAUUGAACCGCUUGGUUCAAUAGUGAAAGACGGUUUUGCUGUCACUUAUAGAUGGAUCCGCGCCGCAUUAGCUAGUUGGUAAGGUAACGGCUUACCAAGGCGACGAUGCGUAGCCGACCUGAGAGGGUGAUCGGCCACCCUGGAACUGGCACACGGUCCAGACUCCUACGGGACGCAGCAGUCGGGAAUCUUCAGCAGUGGGCGAAAGCCUGACGGAGCAACGCCGCGUGAGUGAUGAAGGUCUUCGGAUCGUAAAACUCUGUUAUUAGGGAAGAACAAAUGUGUACGUAACUAUGCCCGUCUUGACGGUACCUAAUCAGAAAGCCACGGCUAACUACGUG
Molecule: ribosomal RNA, 497 nt
Filed under: uncultured bacterium
Lineage: Bacteria
Description: partial 16S ribosomal RNA
Rfam family: Bacterial small subunit ribosomal RNA
Source: RNAcentral